RNAcentral lists this long non-coding RNA (1143 nucleotides) under Gouania willdenowi (blunt-snouted clingfish). RNAcentral describes it as "lncRNA (ENSGWIG00000000245.1)". Lineage: Eukaryota; Metazoa; Chordata; Actinopteri; Blenniiformes; Gobiesocidae. The record is from RNAcentral.
CGGCAGACGCGUUGCGGGUUGCCUUGUGCUUCUCCUCCUCCCCGUCAUCCGUGCUGUCCUCCGCUGCAUGGCUCCCCAUCUGAGAGCAAACAAAAACUAAAAAAAAAAAAAAAAAACCUCACAGAACUGCAGGUAACUAUAGAAACUUCUGGGAUGAAUGCGUUGAGGGGAAAGUAGAGCAGAGCAGGGGCUUUUGCCGGGUUUGUCGGAGAUUUACGCACGCAGACGCAUGCCAAAUUCAACACGUUGAUGGUGACGCGCACGAUGCGCACAGACCGACCGGCGCUUACCAACAGGUCGACGCAGAGUUCUCAAGAGAGUGACACGUGUUUCCUCGUCCACCUACGGAAAAGCCAGAGGUCCUGCUGCACAGCAAGGACGUCUGCUGGGCCCCGAGGGCGUAACGGGGUGUUACGAGGGACAUGGAGACGGAGGCGGCCUGCAGCUCUCACCCAAUGUGUAAUUACAGGCUUGCAGAGAAAGGAGCCAGCAGAACAUCGCUGUGAGCAGAGAUUUUUAAGCAGGCAUCUGAACCGCUGACCCCCGGGAGAGUAGCCCUGUGCGUGCUGAAGUCACAUGAUAUGAAAGAGGGCGUUUUAGUGUGUUUCAUGCUCGUUUUUUAAACUCUGAUCAUCCACUAAAGACGCAGCGUGCCUCCUCAAGGCAGAGGAAAUGUUCCUACGCAGACUCCAUCUUUCACACCACACUAUUCCUGUCAUUAAUAUAGGCCCACGAGGUAUUUCCUGUUAUAUGUUUCUACAUAAUUUAGCAUUUUAAAUAGUUUCCAAUGUCAUUAAAAUACCAAUAGUAAAACAAACAAAAACACUUUAACAUAGGUCCUUGGCAUUGUCAAGCUCAAUAACUGAUAAAUGAAUGACAGCUUUAUAAGUGCCCCUGGCUUAAAUGAGCAAAUUUGGAAGCAACACUGCAGGAGACAUACAUAGUCAGUGUCCAAAAGACAGACAUACAGAUUUGUCCAUCCUCACCAGUGCAUCAAAAGCUACCUGAGCAUUUAAAGAUGCCGGAGACAAUAACUGAUCAUUCAGAUAAAGACAUAAGACCUCAUAGGAAAAACAGGAACAAAUCUGAGCGAAACACACAAAAAAAACAGAAUAAAUCUUGUUUUCUGAGAAAAUCUAUACA